GGGCAAAAUUUUCCGUUUCAAUACGAGUCUAUACAUAUAUUUUAUUUGUUAAUGAAUGGAUAUAUUUUAUUAAAUGUGGUGCUCACACUAAAAGUAGUUUUACGGCAAGCGAUAAUUGCGUCCUUUUUCAUCACAAACAGUAAAAAACGUACAGAUAACAUAUUUUUAUUAAAAUCUUAAAUCAUUUUUAAUACUUAUAUCGCUAUUAUGAUCAUCAUCAUAAUCGCUGACAUGAAUAAUUAAAGAGUCUGCGACUGUGUCAAUCAAAUGGUCGAAAGAGUUUUAAAAGGUUUCCUAAACCUGAAGGUGGACUAGCGGCUAUAGCAAUUACAUAAAACGUAAAUAAUACUUGAAAACAUUGUGUUUAUCUGUAUAAGAGUAAACAUAUAAUGAAACUAUAAAUGACACCGCACAUCAAAAUUACAUAAUCCAAAUUCAAAUGCAGUGCAUCAUAGACAAGUAUAAGUGGACAGCAUCACGACCUUCCAACAGUCACUUGGGUGAGAUACUCGGAUGGCAUAGUUGACGGAGAAAAAAGUGCUUUUCAAACAAGUUUUGAUAUGGGAUAUGAAGAAGGAUUUUCUUUUGGAUUUUUUAUUAGUAGUCAAAACAUGUUGCGAGACACAUU
Pieris brassicae (large cabbage white) is the source of this 628-nucleotide long non-coding RNA. RefSeq lists it as uncharacterized. The record is from RefSeq and is a predicted model, not a curated record. NCBI's taxonomy places the organism in Eukaryota, Metazoa, Arthropoda, Insecta, Lepidoptera, Pieridae. The transcript has 4 exons.